GGCCAAGUUUUUAAGGGCGCACGGUGGAUGCCUUGGCACCAGGAACCGAUGAAGGACGUGGGAGGCCACGAUAGUCCCCGGGGAGUCGUCAACCAGGCUUUGAUCCGGGGGUUUCCGAAUGGGGAAACCCGGCAGUCGUCAUGGGCUGUCACCCUUGUCUGAACACAUAGGGCAAGUGGAGGGAACGCGGGGAAGUGAAACAUCUCAGUACCCGCAGGAAGAGAAAACAACCGUGAUUCCGGGAGUAGUGGCGAGCGAAACCGGAUGAGGCCAAACCGUAUGCGUGUGAGACCCGGCAGGGGUUGCGUAUACGGGGUUGUGGGAUCUCUCUUUCAUGGUCUGCCGGCCGUGAGACGAGUCAGAAACCGUUGAUGUAGGCGAAGGACAUGCGAAAGGUCCGGCGUAGAGGGUAAGACCCCCGUAGCUGAAACAUUAGCGGCUCGUUUGAGAGACACCCAAGUAGCACGGGGCCCGAGAAAUCCCGUGUGAAUCUGGCGGGACCACCCGCUAAGCCUAAAUAUUCCCUGGUGACCGAUAGCGGAUAGUACCGUGAGGGAAUGGUGAAAAGUACCGCGGGAGCGGAGUGAAAUAGUACCUGAAACCGUGUGCCUACAAGCCGUGGGAGCGUCGGACAUCAGCUUGCUGGUGUCUCGUGACUGCGUGCCUUUUGAAGAAUGAGCCUGCGAGUUUGCGGUGUGUUGCGAGGUUAACCCGUGUGGGGAAGCCGUAGCGAAAGCGAGUCCGAACAGGGCGUUUCAGUAGCAUGCUCAAGACCCGAAGCGGAGUGAUCUAGCCAUGGGCAGGUUGAAGCGGAGGUAAGACUUCGUGGAGGACCGAACCCACCAGGGUUGAAAACCUGGGGGAUGACCUGUGGUUAGGGGUGAAAGGCCAAUCAAACUCCGUGAUAGCUGGUUCUCCCCGAAAUGCAUUUAGGUGCAGCGUCGUGUGUUUCUUGCCGGAGGUAGAGCACUGGAUAGGCGAUGGGCCCUACCGGGUUACUGACCUUAGCCAAACUCCGAAUGCCGGUAAGUGAGAGCGCGGCAGUGAGACUGUGGGGGAUAAGCUCCAUGGUCGAGAGGGAAACAGCCCAGAGCAUCGACUAAGGCCCCUAAGCGUACGCUAAGUGGGAAAGGAUGUGGAGUCGCACAGACAACCAGGAGGUUGGCUUAGAAGCAGCCACCCUUGAAAGAGUGCGUAAUAGCUCACUGGUCUAGUGAUUCCGCGCCGACAAUGUAGCGGGGCUCAAGCGUACCGCCGAAGUCGUGUCAUUGCAGCAUGAGGGCCAACGCCCGCUGUGAUGGGUAGGGGAGCGUCGUCUGCCGGGUGAAGCAGCCGCGGAAGCGAGUUGUGGACGGUUGACGAGUGAGAAUGCAGGCAUGAGUAGCGAUACACACGUGGGAAACGUGUGCGCCGAUUGACUAAGGGUUCCUGGGUCAAGCUGAUCUGCCCAGGGUAAGUCGGGACCUAAGGCGAGGCCGACAGGCGUAGUCGAUGGAUAACCGGUUGAUAUUCCGGUACCCGCUGUGAAGCGUCAAACAUCGAGCAUCGUGAUGCUAAGGCCGUGAAGCCGCCCUGAUCUCUUCGGAGUUGAGGGGAGUGGUGGAGCCGCCGGACCAAGCGGUUAGUAGGUGAGUGAUGGGGUGACGCAGGAAGGUAGUCCAUCCCGGGCGAUGGUAGUCCCGGGG
Molecule: ribosomal RNA, 1685 nt
Filed under: Streptomyces sp. MAA16
Lineage: Bacteria; Bacillati; Actinomycetota; Actinomycetes; Kitasatosporales; Streptomycetaceae
Description: partial 23S ribosomal RNA
Rfam family: Bacterial large subunit ribosomal RNA
Source: RNAcentral